RNAcentral lists this ribosomal RNA (468 nucleotides) under uncultured bacterium. Its description in RNAcentral is "partial 16S ribosomal RNA". It matches the Rfam family "Bacterial small subunit ribosomal RNA", at positions 28 to 507 of the family's 1533-position model. The record is from RNAcentral.
GACGAACGCUGGCGGCGUGCUUAACACAUGCAAGUCGAACGGAAAGGCCCUGCUCUUGUGGGGUGCUCGAGUGGCGAACGGGUGAGUAACACGUGAGUAACCUGCCCUUGACUUUGGGAUAACUUCAGGAAACUGGGGCUAAUACCGGAUAGGAGCUCCUGCUGCACGGUGGGGGUUGGAAAGUUUCGGCGGUUGGGGAUGGACUCGCGGCUUAUCAGCUUGUUGGUGGGGUAGUGGCUUACCAAGGCUUUGACGGGUAGCCGGCCUGAGAGGGUGACCGGCCACAUUGGGACUGAGGUACGGCCCAGCCUCCUACGGGAGGCAGCAGUGGGGAAUAUUGCCCAAUGGGCGGAAGCCUGAUGCCGCACCGCCGCGUGCGGGAUGACGGCCUUCGGGUUGUAAACCGCUUUCGCCUGUGACGAAGCGUGAGUGACGGUAAUGGGUAAAGAAGCACCGGCUAACUACGUG